GGGUUGUGAGGUUAAGCGACUAAGCGUACACGGUGGAUGCCCUGGCAGUCAGAGGCGAUGAAGGACGUGCUAAUCUGCGAUAAGCGUCGGUAAGGUGAUAUGAACCGUUAUAACCGGCGAUUUCCGAAUGGGGAAACCCAGUGUGAUUCGUCACACUAUCAUUAACUGAAUCCAUAGGUUAAUGAGGCGAACCGGGGGAACUGAAACAUCUAAGUACCCCGAGGAAAAGAAAUCAACCGAGAUUCCCCCAGUAGCGGCGAGCGAACGGGGAGGAGCCCAGAGCCUGAAUCAGUGUGUGUGUUAGUGGAAGCGUCUGGAAAGGCGCGCGAUACAGGGUGACAGCCCCGUACACAAAAAUGCACAUACUGUGAGCUCGAUGAGUAGGGCGGGACACGUGGUAUCCUGUCUGAAUAUGGGGGGACCAUCCUCCAAGGCUAAAUACUCCUGACUGACCGAUAGUGAACCAGUACCGUGAGGGAAAGGCGAAAAGAACCCCGGCGAGGGGAGUGAAAAAGAACCUGAAACCGUGUACGUACAAGCAGUGGGAGCCUCUUUUAUGGGGUGACUGCGUACCUUUUGUAUAAUGGGUCAGCGACUUAUAUUCUGUAGCAAGGUUAACCGAAUAGGGGAGCCGAAGGGAAACCGAGUCUUAACUGGGCGUUAAGUUGCAGGGUAUAGACCCGAAACCCGGUGAUCUAGCCAUGGGCAGGUUGAAGGUUGGGUAACACUAACUGGAGGACCGAACCGACUAAUGUUGAAAAAUUAGCGGAUGACUUGUGGCUGGGGGUGAAAGGCCAAUCAAACCGGGAGAUAGCUGGUUCUCCCCGAAAGCUAUUUAGGUAGCGCCUCGUGAAUUCAUCUCCGGGGGUAGAGCACUGUUUCGGCAAGGGGGUCAUCCCGACUUACCAACCCGAUGCAAACUGCGAAUACCGGAGAAUGUUAUCACGGGAGACACACGGCGGGUGCUAACGUCCGUCGUGAAGAGGGAAACAACCCAGACCGCCAGCUAAGGUCCCAAAGUCAUGGUUAAGUGGGAAACGAUGUGGGAAGGCCCAGACAGCCAGGAUGUUGGCUUAGAAGCAGCCAUCAUUUAAAGAAAGCGUAAUAGCUCACUGGUCGAGUCGGCCUGCGCGGAAGAUGUAACGGGGCUAAACCAUGCACCGAAGCUGCGGCAGCGACACUAUGUGUUGUUGGGUAGGGGAGCGUUCUGUAAGCCUGUGAAGGUGUGCUGUGAGGCAUGCUGGAGGUAUCAGAAGUGCGAAUGCUGACAUAAGUAACGAUAAAGCGGGUGAAAAGCCCGCUCGCCGGAAGACCAAGGGUUCCUGUCCAACGUUAAUCGGGGCAGGGUGAGUCGACCCCUAAGGCGAGGCCGAAAGGCGUAGUCGAUGGGAAACAGGUUAAUAUUCCUGUACUUGGUGUUACUGCGAAGGGGGGACGGAGAAGGCUAUGUUGGCCGGGCGACGGUUGUCCCGGUUUAAGCGUGUAGGCUGGUUUUCCAGGCAAAUCCGGAAAAUCAAGGCUGAGGCGUGAUGACGAGGCACUACGGUGCUGAAGCAACAAAUGCCCUGCUUCCAGGAAAAGCCUCUAAGCAUCAGGUAACAUCAAAUCGUACCCCAAACCGACACAGGUGGUCAGGUAGAGAAUACCAAGGCGCUUGAGAGAACUCGGGUGAAGGAACUAGGCAAAAUGGUGCCGUAACUUCGGGAGAAGGCACGCUGAUAUGUAGGUGAAGUCCCUCGCGGAUGGAGCUGAAAUCAGUCGAAGAUACCAGCUGGCUGCAACUGUUUAUUAAAAACACAGCACUGUGCAAACACGAAAGUGGACGUAUACGGUGUGACGCCUGCCCGGUGCCGGAAGGUUAAUUGAUGGGGUCAGCGCAAGCGAAGCUCUUGAUCGAAGCCCCGGUAAACGGCGGCCGUAACUAUAACGGUCCUAAGGUAGCGAAAUUCCUUGUCGGGUAAGUUCCGACCUGCACGAAUGGCGUAAUGAUGGCCAGGCUGUCUCCACCCGAGACUCAGUGAAAUUGAACUCGCUGUGAAGAUGCAGUGUACCCGCGGCAAGACGGAAAGACCCCGUGAACCUUUACUAUAGCUUGACACUGAACAUUGAGCCUUGAUGUGUAGGAUAGGUGGGAGGCUUAGAAGUGUGGACGCCAGUCUGCAUGGAGCCGACCUUGAAAUACCACCCUUUAAUGUUUGAUGUUCUAACGUUGACCCGUGAUCCGGGUUGCGGACAGUGUCUGGUGGGUAGUUUGACUGGGGCGGUCUCCUCCUAAAGAGUAACGGAGGAGCACGAAGGUUGGCUAAUCCUGGUCGGACAUCAGGAGGUUAGUGCAAUGGCAUAAGCCAGCUUGACUGCGAGCGUGACGGCGCGAGCAGGUGCGAAAGCAGGUCAUAGUGAUCCGGUGGUUCUGAAUGGAAGGGCCAUCGCUCAACGGAUAAAAGGUACUCCGGGGAUAACAGGCUGAUACCGCCCAAGAGUUCAUAUCGACGGCGGUGUUUGGCACCUCGAUGUCGGCUCAUCACAUCCUGGGGCUGAAGUAGGUCCCAAGGGUAUGGCUGUUCGCCAUUUAAAGUGGUACGCGAGCUGGGUUUAGAACGUCGUGAGACAGUUCGGUCCCUAUCUGCCGUGGGCGCUGGAGAACUGAGGGGGGCUGCUCCUAGUACGAGAGGACCGGAGUGGACGCAUCACUGGUGUUCGGGUUGUCAUGCCAAUGGCACUGCCCGGUAGCUAAAUGCGGAAGAGAUAAGUGCUGAAAGCAUCUAAGCACGAAACUUGCCCCGAGAUGAGUUCUCCCUGACUCCUUGAGAGUCCUGAAGGAACGUUGAAGACGACGACGUUGAUAGGCCGGGUGUGUAAGCGCAGCGAUGCGUUGAGCUAACCGGUACUAAUGAACCGUGAGGCUUAACCUUACAACGCCGAAG
RNAcentral lists this ribosomal RNA (2924 nucleotides) under Escherichia coli. Its description in RNAcentral is "23S ribosomal RNA". It matches the Rfam family "Bacterial large subunit ribosomal RNA". The record is from RNAcentral. Lineage: Bacteria; Pseudomonadati; Pseudomonadota; Gammaproteobacteria; Enterobacterales; Enterobacteriaceae.